RNAcentral lists this ribosomal RNA (406 nucleotides) under uncultured bacterium. RNAcentral's name for it is "partial 16S ribosomal RNA". It matches the Rfam family "Bacterial small subunit ribosomal RNA", at positions 30 to 526 of the family's 1533-position model. The record is from RNAcentral.
AUUGAACGCUGGCGGCAGGCUUAACACAUGCAAGUCGAACGAGCGGCGGACGGGUGAGUAAUGUCUGGGAAACUGCCUGAUGGAGGGGGAUAAAUACUGGAAACGGUAGCUAAUACCGCAUACCAUCAGAUGUGCCCAGAUGUGAUUAGCUAGUAGGUGGGGUAAUGGCUCACCUAGGCGACGAUCCCUAGCUGGUCUGAGAGGAUGAACAGCCACACUGGAACUGAGACACGGUCCAGACUCCUACGGGAGGCAGCAGUGGGUAAUAGUGCACAAGGGGCGCAAGCCUGAUGCAGCCAGGCCGCGUGUGUGAAGAAGGCCUUCGGGUUGCAAAGUACUUUCAGCGAGGAGGCGUUACCCGCAGAAGAAGCACCGGCUAACUCCGUGCCAGCAGCCGCGGUAAUUC